RNAcentral lists this long non-coding RNA (220 nucleotides) under Elaeis guineensis (African oil palm). Its description in RNAcentral is "long non-coding RNA (EGUI_LNC073246)". The record is from RNAcentral. Lineage: Eukaryota; Viridiplantae; Streptophyta; Magnoliopsida; Arecales; Arecaceae.
AUCUCACACCUCUUCUCAAUUUCUCACACCCCAUUUGAUGAGAAAAAGCCAUGUGGACAUCAAGAUGGGUUGAAGAGGCGCCUUAUUGCAGAAGGACUCUUCGAACUCAACUUACGGUGUUCACAUGAGAAGUCGCAAUGCUACUCUUAUUGGCGCCAUCAACCCAUGCCUUUAGAUCUAGAAGGAAGCCCAUCCAAUGGCCAAGAUAGAGGUGCCAACU